CCCUACGGGGCGCAGCAGGCGCGAAAACUUUACAAUGCGGGAAACCGUGAUAAGGGGACACCGAGUGCCAGCAUCAUAUGCUGGCUGUCCGGGUGUGUAAAAUACACCUGUUAGCAAGGGCCGGGCAAGACCGGUGCCAGCCGCCGCGGUAACACCGGCGGCCCGAGUGGUGAUCGUGAUUAUUGGGUCUAAAGGGUCCGUAGCCGGUUUGGUCAGUCCUCCGGGAAAUCUGAUAGCUCAACUAUUAGGCUUUCGGAGGAUACUGCCAGACUUGAAACCGGGAGAGGUAAGAGGUACUACAGGGGUAGGAGUGAAAUCCUGUAAUCCA
RNAcentral lists this ribosomal RNA (328 nucleotides) under uncultured Methanosarcina sp. Its description in RNAcentral is "bacterial SSU rRNA". It matches the Rfam family "Archaeal small subunit ribosomal RNA", at positions 321 to 649 of the family's 1478-position model. The record is from RNAcentral. Lineage: Archaea; Methanobacteriati; Methanobacteriota; Methanomicrobia; Methanosarcinales; Methanosarcinaceae.